UACGGAGGGGGCUAGCGUUGUUCGGAAUUACUGGGCGUAAAGCGCACGUAGGCGGCUAUUCAAGUCAGAGGUGAAAGCCCGGGGCUCAACCCCGGAACAGCCUUUGAAACUAGAUAGCUUGAAUCAUGGAGAGGUCAGUGGAAUUCCGAGUGUAGAGGUGAAAUUCGUAGAUAUUCGGAAGAACACCAGUGGCGAAGGCGGCUGACUGGACAUGUAUUGACGCUGAGGUGCGAAAGCGUGGGGAGCAAACAGU
This 253-nucleotide ribosomal RNA is filed under the name uncultured prokaryote. RNAcentral describes it as "partial 16S ribosomal RNA". It matches the Rfam family "Bacterial small subunit ribosomal RNA", at positions 524 to 776 of the family's 1533-position model. The record is from RNAcentral.